UCAGGGGUAGCUUAAUGGCAUAGUUCAUGUUUAUCACACAUGAAGUCUGGGUUUAAUUUCCAGCACCAAAA
RNAcentral lists this transfer RNA (71 nucleotides) under Dipodomys ordii (Ord's kangaroo rat). It matches the Rfam family "tRNA". Rfam says of the family: Transfer RNA (tRNA) molecules are approximately 80 nucleotides in length. Their secondary structure includes four short double-helical elements and three loops (D, anti-codon, and T loops). The record is from Rfam by way of RNAcentral. Lineage: Eukaryota; Metazoa; Chordata; Mammalia; Rodentia; Heteromyidae.